AUACGUAGGGAGCGAGCGUUGUCCGGAAUUACUGGGUGUAAAGGGAGCGUAGGCGGGAGUGCAAGUCAGAUGUGAAAUACAUGGGCUCAACCCAUGGGCUGCGUUUGAAACUGCAUUUCUUGAGUGAAGUAGAGGUAAGCGGAAUUCCUGGUGUAGCGGUGAAAUGCGUAGAUAUCAGGAGGAACACCGGUGGCGAAGGCGGCUUACUGGGCUUUUACUGACGCUGAGGCUCGAAAGCGUGGGGAGCAAACAGGAUUAGAUACCCUGGUAGUCCACGCUGUAAACGAUGAUUACUAGGUGUGGGGGGACUGACCCCUUCCGUGCCGCAGUUAACACAAUAAGUAAUCCACCUAGGGAGUACGGCCGCAAGGUUGAAACUCAAAUGAAUUGACGGGG
Molecule: ribosomal RNA, 396 nt
Filed under: uncultured bacterium
Lineage: Bacteria
Description: partial 16S ribosomal RNA
Rfam family: Bacterial small subunit ribosomal RNA
Source: RNAcentral